RNAcentral lists this ribosomal RNA (337 nucleotides) under uncultured bacterium. RNAcentral describes it as "bacterial SSU rRNA". It matches the Rfam family "Bacterial small subunit ribosomal RNA", at positions 30 to 366 of the family's 1533-position model. The record is from RNAcentral.
AUUGAACGCUGGCGGCAUGCCUUACACAUGCAAGUCGAACGGCAGCACGGGAGCAAUCCUGGUGGCGAGUGGCGAACGGGUGAGUAAUAUAUCGGAACGUGCCCAGUCGUGGGGGAUAACGUAGCGAAAGCUACGCUAAUACCGCAUACGAUCUAUGGAUGAAAGCGGGGGAUCGCAAGACCUCGCGCGAUUGGAGCGGCCGAUAUCAGAUUAGGUAGUUGGUGAGGUAAAGGCUCGCCAAGCCGACGAUCUGUAGCUGGUCUGAGAGGACGGACCAGCCACACUGGGACUGAGACACGGCCCAGACUCCUACGGGAGGCAGCAGUGGGGAAUUUUU